Molecule: small nuclear RNA, 23 nt
Filed under: Arabidopsis thaliana (thale cress)
Lineage: Eukaryota; Viridiplantae; Streptophyta; Magnoliopsida; Brassicales; Brassicaceae
Description: snRNA_02540
Source: RNAcentral
AGAAAGCUCCGACAAGUUUAAAA